This 425-nucleotide ribosomal RNA is filed under the name uncultured bacterium. Its description in RNAcentral is "partial 16S ribosomal RNA". It matches the Rfam family "Bacterial small subunit ribosomal RNA", at positions 354 to 796 of the family's 1533-position model. The record is from RNAcentral.
GUGGGGAAUCUUGCGCAAUGGGCGAAAGCCUGACGCAGCCAUGCCGCGUGAAUGAUGAAGGUCUUAGGAUUGUAAAAUUCUUUCACCGGGGACGAUAAUGACGGUACCCGGAGAAGAAGCCCCGGCUAACUUCGUGCCAGCAGCCGCGGUAAUACGAAGGGGGCUAGCGUUGCUCGGAAUUACUGGGCGUAAAGGGCGCGUAGGCGGAUCGUUAAGUCAGGGGUGAAAUCCCAGAGCUCAACUCUGGAACUGCCCUUGAUACUGGCGAUCUUGAGUGUGAGAGAGGUAUGUGGAACUCCGAGUGUAGAGGUGAAAUUCGUAGAUAUUCGGAAGAACACCAGUGGCGAAGGCAACAUACUGGCUCAUUACUGACGCUGAGGCGCGAAAGCGUGGGGAGCAAACAGGAUUAGAAACCCGAGUAGUCC